AGAAACAUCUAAAAAAUCUAAAAUUAAUGCUUUGGUUAUUCAUUGGGAUAUCUUACAGAUGCUCAGGAAUGGAGCAUGGGACCAGUGUAUGUCUGCUUUAGAGCCUCCGGUGAAGGACAAGUUGUCCAAAUAUCAAGUAUAAUAUUUUUCUGCUUACUUGUUUGGGUAUAGUCUGUCGUAGCUUGUGGGUUCUUCAGAAUGGUAAUUUUGUGGAUUGUCCAACCAUAUUGAAGCACAUGAUUCUUUGAAGCAAAGAUGAAAUCUGGUUCUUGAUUUGCCUUAGCAAAAGCAUCAGUGUUGCAUUUAUUCAGUUAAGCCUGCAGUCCAACCUGUACCUCUUCAAAAGCUUAAGAUCCAUAUCCUACAGCCUGGCAUCAUUUAUUUUCAGACAAUGAUGUAGCCAAGGAAGCGACAAAAGCAUUACUUAAUACAGUGGGGAGUGCAGUUCUCCAACUCGGGGCCUCUGAGGUUGUUUUAUCCAUUUAGUUUUUGUGAUUAAAAAACGGGUAAAAAGGUGUUGAUCUCAUUCUAGUUCCAAUAUUUGAUUCAUCAUUUUUGUCAUUUUCAUUCAUAUUUCCCCCUCUUUCCUACUUUAGUGGGAUAGGCUCGUCUCCAUUUCCACUGAUUUUUGUACACGUGGAUUCGACAUUCAUUGAUCCAUUGUUUGUUUGAGUAUUACAUAAUUUUGGAGGUCUGUAAGUUAAAAAUGGAGUUUAGGUCUUUGCAUUCAGCAGGUGUGGUAUUUGGUCUUCUUUGGAAACAAUAAGAUACAGAUGCAGUGGAUGUACGAUAUAACAUUUUAUUUUACUUUUUUUUUUUUUAAAGAAAAAAAAAGCAAUAGAAAUUGUUUCCUUGUGGGCAUUGGUGAGAAAUUUGGCAACAGCUUUGCAUUUUUUUCCUUGAUUCAGUAGGUUUUUUUUCUUAAUGUAAAAUAGGAAGUUGCCUGUUUUGAAGAUGGAUAUAAUCACAUCUAGUUUGUGUUUAUGGUUGGGUUUGUAAUUUGAUCACUUGAUGACCCUACCCUAUAUUUUACAUUAUAAGCAGUUUUAGAAAAUUGUAUCCAAAUAAACAAUUUCUUUAUACUGAGUUGUGUACGAGUUCUUGGAGUUUAUAAAGCAAAAUCAUACUUUGAUGCAUAUACAAAUUUUGAAGAUAUAAUUUAUUUUAAUAGCAAAU
Molecule: long non-coding RNA, 1176 nt
Filed under: Carica papaya (papaya)
Lineage: Eukaryota; Viridiplantae; Streptophyta; Magnoliopsida; Brassicales; Caricaceae
Description: long non-coding RNA (CPAP_LNC011197)
Source: RNAcentral